GCAGACCCUUCAGUGGUGGGGUAACUUUGGACGAGCAUCGGCAUGGGAAUAAGCUCUGCAGAUACAAGCACUUUCCUCCUAGCAGAGCAGCAGCCACAAAGAAGGCUUGUCCCSACUGAACCGCAGUGAAAGGGGCACAGUGUUUGCCCACAGGGUGCAAUCCAAGUGCUGGUGGAGUCAAGGCGUACUUUAAAAGGAGMUGGAUUUGCGGAAUACUUUUAAUAGAAAUUUACUCAUCCUUGCAUAUGCUACCCCUCUUGGCUGAGAUCCGUAUUUUUCACAGGAUGGAAAAGUGCCAUUGACUAACUGAUCAGACCCAGGCAGUCCUUUGAGUCACCAU
Molecule: long non-coding RNA, 340 nt
Filed under: Apteryx rowi (Okarito brown kiwi)
Lineage: Eukaryota; Metazoa; Chordata; Aves; Apterygiformes; Apterygidae
Description: lncRNA (ENSARWG00000002558.1)
Source: RNAcentral